GGAUUAAUUUAUUGGUCGUGCUAUUGUACGUACUGGUAUUAUUGAUUCCUACCUUCUGACGAACCAUGAUGUCAUUAAUUUGGUGUCAUGGGGAAUCAGGACUGUUACUUUGAAAAAAUUAGAGUGUUUAAAGCAGGCAUUUUGCUUGAAUACAUUAGCAUGGAAUAAUAAAAUAGGACG
RNAcentral lists this ribosomal RNA (180 nucleotides) under uncultured Glomeromycotina. RNAcentral's name for it is "partial small subunit ribosomal RNA". It matches the Rfam family "Eukaryotic small subunit ribosomal RNA", at positions 652 to 829 of the family's 1831-position model. The record is from RNAcentral. Lineage: Eukaryota; Fungi; Glomeromycota.